ACUUUGGGUCUGUCUUUUCAAACAAGAGCUGCAGAAAACGUUAUAGCAAGGUCGAAGCUUUAUUCCACUCUGACUCACUCAGAAAGCACAACCCUGAUUUUGCAUAAGAACAGCUAUCAACAGACCCUAAAACGUGAGUCCUAUUGGUUUGUGCUAUUGAAUUCUACUUUGCUAUAUAAAUGAUCUUGUGAUAAGAUAUGGCUUUUAUUUCAUAAUUAAAAUCUUGACCAGGUAUAAAUGUAGACUAUAAGAAGUGCAGAAAGGAAGAAUUGAUAUGUUUGUUGCAUUCUUUAGUUUAAAAGAUUCUAGUAGUUAGUAGCUACUUAACUCUGAAGCAGAUAUUGUGCUGUUCAUUGAUAGUUGUUUUAAAGCAGAUAGCUUUACAGAGUUUUGAUGUUCCAAUUUCUUUAUGGUUGAUAAAAAUAUAUAAAUAUAAUAUUCCUUACAACUAAGCAUUUCCAUGCUAUUUUGUACAUGAUUUACUUUUCUAUGAUCAAUAUCCCUAAGUAUUUAGAGCAUGUAUUUAGCAUCUCAGUUUUUCUCGGAGAUUUUACAAAUGGAAUAAGUGCUGGGUCAAAGAUAAAAGGCUUGGUGCACUUUUCUUCUCAGUUCUAUCACAGAUCUGACUUUUAGCUACUUAAUAAUUUUUGGUAUCUCUUCUCUCUGGCCUCUGAUAAGUUGUCUUUGAUAACCUGCUGUUUUGUUCUUGAGCUUUGCCAUGGCUACAACUCUGGGGUAUCAGAACUGUCAAAAAUAAAAGUAAAAGAGCAAGAAUCGUGGAGCUUAUGAAAGUUAGAGAAGACAUAAGGCCUGGUAUCGACAGAUGAAUUUUCCACUGGCAGGUAGUUUUCACUUUAUCCCAUUUGCUGUCACAGUACACAGUACCUGAAAUAAUAAGGGGAUUUUUUUUUUCCCGAAUAAUGGACGAUAGGGGCUGUUUGCUUUGUGAGAAUCUGCCAAGGCAGCAUGCCAUGUGGCUUUAUCUUUGAAAGUGAGGGUAAAACAAGCUUGCUGAGCUGCAGAUAAGGGACUUAGAAGGAAUUCUAUUCAGAUGUACCUGUCACUAAUUUAUCUGGAGGUUUUGUGAUUCAUACAUACUGCUCUAUGUGCGAUGAGGCAUUAAAUUGGUUUCCUCUGGGAGCAGGUCACAUUCAGGGGUCCUCAGACCUACGCUUGUGGUAUGGUGCAUGCCUGAUUCAUAUAGCCUAUUGCUACUCAAUUUUUAUCUAUUAGAGGGCUGGUAAGUUGAACAUAUGUUAGAUGAUCUCUUGGAACAUUUCAACAGCAAAGGGAGAUUGACAGAAACUUAACUAUCUAUUAAUAUGCACAUGUUUCUAACAAAAAUUAAUCAAACUUUCUGAUGUUAGUACAUUUAUUAUGAUAAUUAAGUAGUUAUACAUAUGUUUCCCAAUAAUGGCCUAGCUCUUUAUGAGUGCAUUUCCAUAGCUCCUUUAUUUAUUGGAACAAAGGGAUAUGUACUUAAGUGCAUUAUUUUAUCCUGGAAAAAAAAAUGCAGAGCUGAUUUGAAACAGGUUUCACGAAAGGAAAAAUUUCAGAAAACAUAGAGUUUUCCCAUUUACAUUAUAGUUUUCUCCUGUGGCAAUUCUGCUUCAUUACUCAAUAUAUUUUGAAAAAAAUGUCAUACCUUAGAAAAUGAAAUAGAUACUGGUUCAAAUUUGAAAGGAAUAUAAAAGGAAGAGAUGCUUAUUUAUUGUUAACAUUAUACUGAGAGGUUUUUACACUGAUCUCUUUUUUUUGGAUGUGAGAUAUUUUAGCAAAUGCAAAAAAAAAAAAAAAAAAAA
This 1802-nucleotide long non-coding RNA is filed under the name Sus scrofa (pig). RNAcentral describes it as "lncRNA (ENSSSCG00050000441.1)". The record is from RNAcentral. Lineage: Eukaryota; Metazoa; Chordata; Mammalia; Artiodactyla; Suidae.